UAAGGGGUGAACAUCCUUGGGAAGCCACAGAGAGCAAGGCGCAGUUUUUCAUUGAUCACCACUUUCAAGAUGCUCCCAGAAUCGUGCUGUCUAGGAAGCCAUUUAAACUGGUGAGAAGCCAUCCUCUCUUGAAUGGGGGCUCCCACUGUACAUCUGGCACCCACUUCACAGAUUCUGGGGGAUGUCAACACCAGCACUGCUGAGCUGUGUGACCUUGAGCAAGACAGUUAGCCUCUCUGAACCUCAGUGUCCUUCUCUGUAGGCUGGAGAUUGAUAUACCUUCAUUAUCGGGGUAUGAGAGUGUUAUAAGGUGGGAUGGUGGAACACGCUGACUGGUCUGGGCUAUUCAAGAUCCAUGAACUGGAAGAUGCUUUCUUAUAACUCAGAGAAAAGAGAUGAAAAUGAAUCAAAGAACAGGAAGGAGACAAGCUCAGGAGAGUCACCCUAAGAAGGAUGUGUGGAAGACUUGACUGGAGGAUCAAAAUGUGUCGGGGGAAGGUGUACAAGGAGGAGUAAGGACACAGAUGUCCUGACUUCACACAGUGGGGGAUUAGAAGCCACCAUCAAACACAGAUGAAACAGGAAUAAAAGUAGUAGUACAUUACUUAAGCUUUAAAAGGGUAAGACUCCUGGGAAUUUGGAAGCUGAGACUUGAGGCAAGUAUUUAGGAUUUGCUGUCUCACCUCCCUGCUAUGACAGUCCUUAAUUAAUGGAGAUGAUGGAGAACAGCUUGCUGGGCUGAGUGGCAGGAGCCAUGCAGCUGCUGGGGCUGGAGUGGGUCAGGAAGCUUCAUCAAUCUGGGACACAUGACGUGCUUGGUGGUGGCGGAGCCUGACGCAUCCCUCUUCAUCGACAUUGUGUCAAUAGGAGCAGAGGCAUUUAGCUGUGUAAACACAGAGCUUCAGUGGCAGCACCCUAAAUGCUUAGCUGAUAGAUCCGGAAUUAAAUACAGACCUAGAAACUGGAGUUGGAAAACUUCCUGGCAGCACUCCUUCCCUGCCAUCCCGGUGAUCCCCUUCUGGAUGGAGGGUGUGGAGCUCAGCACAUUCACGUCUGCAGUUCUCAGAGAACCAAGUGUUAAGGAAUGUCAGGGAAGGAAGAAGGCAGCCAGCCAGGAAGGGGAGGUCCUGGCCUGAGCACGCCAGGCACAGAGGGAUAGAGGGUAGGGAGGAAACUGCACCUGUCUCCAACCCUCGACCCCAGCCCCGAAACACGACAUUGGCUGAAACAGAUUAAAAGCAUAAAAUGGCCCAAAGAAAUGGGAGAAGGUUGGCCUCUGGUCGGGCAAACAUGAGGGCAUGAAGAUAUAUAAUGUCCCACACGGGAGGAAACCCUUGCCGGGCCCCUCAGGAUUUAUAACAAGCUCACCUGAAGGAGAAACUUCAGGGGCACUUACACCAUCAGAUACCUAGAAAGGAGCUGUCAUUUCCUCACUGAAGAGUUUGCAAGCAGAUGGUAAAAGGGGUUUAAUUUGAAAACACUGAAACAUCGUGUUCGCUCAAAACCAUGACAAUUGCAGUUUUAUUGUCUCCACUCAGGAAAAUGUGUGUCUGGAUCAUCUUGUGGCCCGAAUGGGGAGAAAAGGCUGGGUGUAUUUAUUUUCUUUUGCUCUCAAAAUUAUUUUGGAAUUAUGACUUACCAUUAAUACUUGAAAAGUGAUCAAAUAGAGGAAAGCAUUCUAAAGGUGGAGAAAGAGAUGUGCAGCUAACAGGAGACAUUUAUGCGUUAUUUCACCAGCCCACAAGUUCAAGUUCUAGGAGUUGAAAUGGCAAAGGCCUGAGGACUUUCAGCAUUUUGUCAACACUGACCAAGCGAACAGGGUGCUGUUCACAAUCCAAGUUCGCAAUCCAAGUGCAUGCUGUCUUUGGAUUAAAUGGUUUAUGCAGAUUGGUCUUGGUUCUUCUGUACGUUCUGUAUUGGGGAGGGAUGAUGAGUGGAUGGACAUCUUGCAGAUAAGACCCCUUGCCCAGUAUACUGUGGGGUUCACUGUAGUUGUGGAGGAAGACCUUUCAGUUUGGGGGCAGAGCACAAUUUUUGUGUCCCUUUACUCAAAAUGCU
Molecule: long non-coding RNA, 2058 nt
Filed under: Homo sapiens (human)
Lineage: Eukaryota; Metazoa; Chordata; Mammalia; Primates; Hominidae
Description: HSALNT0397320
Source: RNAcentral